UAUGAGAGUUUGAUCCUGGCUCAGGACGAACGCUGGCGGCGUGCCUAAUACAUGCAAGUCGAACGCUUCUUUCCUCCCGAGUGCUUGCACUCAAUUGGAAAGAGGAGUGGCGGACGGGUGAGUAACACGUGGGUAACCUACCCAUCAGAGGGGGAUAACACUUGGAAACAGGUGCUAAUACCGCAUAACAGUUUAUGCCGCAUGGCAUAAGAGUGAAAGGCGCUUUCGGGUGUCGCUGAUGGAUGGACCCGCGGUGCAUUAGCUAGUUGGUGAGGUAACGGCUCACCAAGGCCACGAUGCAUAGCCGACCUGAGAGGGUGAUCGGCCACACUGGGACUGAGACACGGCCCAGACUCCUACGGGAGGCAGCAGUAGGGAAUCUUCGGCAAUGGACGAAAGUCUGACCGAGCAACGCCGCGUGAGUGAAGAAGGUUUUCGGAUCGUAAAACUCUGUUGUUAGAGAAGAACAAGGACGUUAGUAACUGAACGUCCCCUGACGGUAUCUAACCAGAAAGCCACGGCUAACUACGGGCCAGCAGCCGCGGUAAUACGUAGUUUUUUUUUUCAAGCAGAAGACGKYRKRCGUAAAGCGAGCGCAGGCGGUUUCUUAAGUCUGAUGUGAAAGCCCCCGGCUCAACCGGGGAGGGUCAUUGGAAACUGGGAGACUUGAGUGCAGAAGAGGAGAGUGGAAUUCCAUGUGUAGCGGUGAAAUGCGUAGAUAUAUGGAGGAACACCAGUGGCGAAGGCGGCUCUCUGGUCUGUAACUGACGCUGAGGCUCGAAAGCGUGGGGAGCAAACAGGAUUAGAUACCCUGGUAGUCCACGCCGUAAACGAUGAGUGCUAAGUGUUGGAGGGUUUCCGCCCUUCAGUGCUGCAGCAAACGCAUUAAGCACUCCGCCUGGGGAGUACGACCGCAAGGUUGAAACUCAAAGGAAUUGACGGGGGCCCGCACAAGCGGUGGAGCAUGUGGUUUCAUUCGAAGCAACGCGAAGAACCUUACCAGGUCUUGACAUCCUUUGACCACUCUAGAGAUAGAGCUUUCCCUUCGGGGACAAAGUGACAGGUGGUGCAUGGUUGUCGUCAGCUCGUGUCGUGAGAUGUUGGGUUAAGUCCCGCAACGAGCGCAACCCUUAUUGUUAGUUGCCAUCAUUUAGUUGGGCACUCUAGCGAGACUGCCGGUGACAAACCGGAGGAAGGUGGGGAUGACGUCAAAUCAUCAUGCCCCUUAUGACCUGGGCUACACACGUGCUACAAUGGGAAGUACAACGAGUCGCUAGACCGCGAGGUCAUGCAAAUCUCUUAAAGCUUCUCUCAGUUCGGAUUGCAGGCUGCAACUCGCCUGCAUGAAGCCGGAAUCGCUAGUAAUCGCGGAUCAGCACGCCGCGGUGAAUACGUUCCCGGGCCUUGUACACACCGCCCGUCACACCACGAGAGUUUGUAACACCCGAAGUCGGUGAGGUAACCUUUUUGGAGCCAGCCGCCUAAGGUGGGAUAGAUGAUUGGGGUGAAGUCGUAACAAGGUAGCCGUAUCGGAAGGUGCGGCUGGAUCACCUCCUUUCUAAGGAA
This 1566-nucleotide ribosomal RNA is filed under the name Enterococcus faecalis. RNAcentral's name for it is "bacterial SSU rRNA". It matches the Rfam family "Bacterial small subunit ribosomal RNA". The record is from RNAcentral. Lineage: Bacteria; Bacillati; Bacillota; Bacilli; Lactobacillales; Enterococcaceae.